Humulus lupulus (European hop) is the source of this 1172-nucleotide long non-coding RNA. RefSeq lists it as uncharacterized. Lineage: Eukaryota; Viridiplantae; Streptophyta; Magnoliopsida; Rosales; Cannabaceae. The transcript is spliced from 3 exons. The record is from RefSeq and is a predicted model, not a curated record.
GAGAGAGAGAGAGAGAGAGAGAGAGAGAGGGUGGCAUGUAGAGAGAGAGGGAGAAGAAGAAAGAAAGGAAGAAAGAAGAAGAAGGUGAAGAGGAACCCAUUUUAGAGCUUGAACAAGGGGUGUGAAGUUUGGGUGUUGAUCAUAUUGUGUUCUUGAUUUUACAAUCAAGAGAGGAUUGAUGAUUAUGAUUUGUAUUUUUAAGAGAAUAUGAUUUGUUUAAAAAUGGCUCAUGGGUAUGAUUGAGAAAAUGGAUUUGAUAGGGUUUAUUGUUAUCCCCAAAAAUUGGAGAUCGAUGACGUGGCAAUAGAGGUGACAAGUGGUAGUACAUGGUCCAUAAAAGACACAUUAAAUAGUCAAUAAAUACAUUGACUCCUGAGAGUUGUGAUAAAAUUUUGACUGGCUUGAGAAGUGUCAUGACCGACCAGGCAUGACCUUGUCUGACCAGUCACGACAUUACUGCCCAGGAGUGAUAUUGCUGCCCAGUAAUAACUUUGCUGCCCAGAGUGCCAUGUUAGAGGAGAGACAUGGCAUGCUAGACCAGAGUGUCAUGUUAGAGGAGAGACAUUGUAUGCUAGACCAGAGUGCCAUGUUAGACGAGAGGCAUGUGCAUGUCCUACCAGCAAGUGCAUGUCCUACCAGCAAGUGCAUGUCCUACCAGCAUGCAUGUGUCCGACCAGCACUUGCAUAUGUCCAGCAUGCAUGUGUCCGACCAGCACUUGCAUGAGUAUCCAGUAGAGGUGUGUUCGACCAGCUUGAAGGAGAUAUGAGUCGACUAGAUAGAGGAGGACUAAGUCAAGAUUCCCAGAAACAGCUUCAACAAGAACCGGUCUUGGCACACGCGGGAAUCUCUCAUUCUUCCCACAAAUUUGGUGUUAUGUUAUAUAUUGAAUAUUUUUGUAAUUUAAAUAUAAUAAGAAUAAUAAAAUAUCCCGAUUCUAGGGGAUAUCAGAUGUAUGAUCCUAAGCCUAUUGUAACGCCCUACUUCCUUAGAGCCGUUACUAAGUGAUUUUUAAGACAAAUCAGUGUGCAAUGAACUCGCUAACCGAGGUUUUGAGACAAAAGUGUGACUAAUUAAAAUUUAAGGCUGUAAUCUUAGAAAAUGCGUCGUUUCAUUUAAAACUGCUAGUAUUAAACAUUUGGGAUCCCAAAAUAAGGUUUGAAAACUAUUUACA